GGCGAACGCUGGCGGCAGGCCUAACACAUGCAAGUCGAACGACCCCUUCGGGGGUAGUGGCAAACGAGUGAGUAACGCGUGGGAAUCUGCCCCAGACUCAGGGAUACCCGGCCGAAAGGUCGGCUAAUACCUGAUAUUCUCGCAAGAGAAAAGAUUUAUCGGUUUGGGAGGAGCCUGCGUCCUAUCAGCUUGUUGGUGGGGUAAAAGCCUACCAAGGCAACGACGGGUAGCUGAACUGAGAGGUUGAUCAGCCACGCUGGGACUGAGACACGGCCCAGACACCUACGGGUGGCAGCAGUGAGGAAUCGUGCGCAAUGGGCGAAAGCCUGACGCCGCGACACCGCGUGAGGGAAGAAGCUCUUCGGAGUGUAAACCUCUUUUUUAUGGGACGAUUAUGACGGUACCAUAAGAAUAAGCCACGGCAAACUCCGUGCCAGCAGCCGCAGUAA
This 449-nucleotide ribosomal RNA is filed under the name uncultured bacterium. RNAcentral's name for it is "partial 16S ribosomal RNA". It matches the Rfam family "Bacterial small subunit ribosomal RNA", at positions 28 to 523 of the family's 1533-position model. The record is from RNAcentral.